GGGGGAGGGGAAGGGGCGGGAGAAAGGGCGGAGAAGAACCUGGCCAAUGGGAGCGGCUGCUGUUGGAAGCCACCUGCCCAGUCCCCGGCCCCUAGGCACAGCUCGAGAGGGCCGAUCCUGGCCAAGGGCGGUAGACAAGCUCAACCUUUCUCCUCUUCUUUCCUCUUCUUUUUCUGGCUUGCCUGGGGCUCCCACUCUCGAUGCUGCUGCUGCUGCUGCUGGCCUCCUCAGGGCCUUUGUCCAGAGGUGGAGGUUUGUGUAAACCCGAGCAUUCCUGGCCUCGGAUAAAGCCCAGUUUGAAGGUUUGCUUUACUUUUCUGAGCCUGACUGAAGAGGGAGACGAAGACUCAAGUCCGAGCGUUUUUAUUUCAUGAACAAAACUACAACUGUACAGUUACUAGGAAGGUGAGAAAAAUGAAAACAAGGGGAGAAAGGACUUGCCCAGGAACAAGAAUGAAGGAACUCUCUUUGAAACUCAAAUAAAGUCCAAGUAAAAGGAGUCGCUACUUUGGAGUGUGGUGAAAAUCAACUUACUACCUCAAGAGGUGGGACAGGUGGAGAACAUUAAUAGGCUCAAAGAAGUUUGAGAGAAGUUAUGACAGCUAUAGUGAAUUAUGUGAUUCAAGGGAAAUUUGUGGGGAAACCAGGAUGUUUGGGGGGCAUAUCGACUUCAUCACUUCUAGAAGAAACUAUUGCAAUUACCCUCUAACUGGUCUCCAAUCCAGCCUCCCCUUACUCAACCGCCAAGGUGGUUUUUCUAAAGCAUAGGCCUCUCCAUGGCGGCAACCCCACCCAGUGGCUCCCUCUGACCUCCAGGAUUAAACUGGCAUUUAAAUCAUAUCUGUAAUCCUGGUCUACUGGGGUUCCUCAAGCAGCAUACUACACCUGUCCCCCACCCCUGGAAUUCCAUUCCCUCUCACCUCUGCCUCCUUAAGCCUCUGCUCAAAUCUCACCCAUUACAGGGGGCCUUUCCUGGUCCCCAUACUUGCUCCUGCCUUCUCUCAGAGUCUACUCUGUAAAUAUCUUCUCUCUGCCUAGAUGGGGUCUCCCCAGGGCCUGACACAUAGUAUUCAAUAAAUGCUUGUUGGCUGACUAA
Vombatus ursinus (common wombat) is the source of this 1096-nucleotide long non-coding RNA. RefSeq lists it as uncharacterized. NCBI's taxonomy places the organism in Eukaryota, Metazoa, Chordata, Mammalia, Diprotodontia, Vombatidae. The record is from RefSeq and is a predicted model, not a curated record. The transcript has 3 exons.